RNAcentral lists this transfer RNA (106 nucleotides) under Halomonas cerina. RNAcentral describes it as "tRNA-Ser". The record is from RNAcentral. Lineage: Bacteria; Pseudomonadati; Pseudomonadota; Gammaproteobacteria; Oceanospirillales; Halomonadaceae.
GCGGGUGAUGCGUACAAAAGGGGGCUGUAAGAUGCUGUUUUGUAAGUGUAAAUUCUUAUAUCUUGUAAUCAGUAGGUCGCGGGUUCGACUCCUGCUGCCGGCACCA